CUUUUCUUGUUAGUUUUUGAAGUAUGGCCUGCCCACUGACUUGGAGUUGAAGGGCCGCGGUAUUUUGACCGUGCAAAGGUAGCAUAAUCAUUAGUUCUUUAAUUGUGAUCUGGUAUGAAUGGCUUGACGAGACAUAAGCUGUCUUGGGGGUAUUGGUUUAUUGAAUUUGGUUUUUGAGUUAAAAUUCUUAGAUGUUUUUAUGGGACGAGAAGACCCUAUAGAGUUUGACAAUUUUCUUAUUUAUUCAUUGUUUGUUUUAUUUACAUUGAGUGGGAAUAGAUUGUUUUGUUGGGGUGAUGGGAGGAAUAUUAUUUAACUCCUCUUUGUUUUUAUAUAUUUA
This 340-nucleotide ribosomal RNA is filed under the name Nasutitermes takasagoensis. RNAcentral's name for it is "partial 16S ribosomal RNA". Lineage: Eukaryota; Metazoa; Arthropoda; Insecta; Blattodea; Termitidae. The record is from RNAcentral.